Homo sapiens (human) is the source of this 466-nucleotide long non-coding RNA. NCBI's taxonomy places the organism in Eukaryota, Metazoa, Chordata, Mammalia, Primates, Hominidae. The record is from Ensembl.
CCCACCCCACCCGCCCCUCCCCCGCCUCCCCAGCCAUCUGUGGCGUUGGCAGCAGCAGUGCCAGGGCGGGCGGGUUCACGCUGCACCUUUACCAGGGUAGGACUGGCCAGCCUGGGCUCUACCGGGCAGGUCGGUGGGAUGCUUCAGACUGGAGGGAUAGGCAGGGGGCAACACUGGUCCUCCUGAAGCCACCUUCCCUUCCUGAGAGCUCCUUGGGGAGAAGGCAAGCCCUGGAAGCCACCGACUGGGGGCUCGGGCAGAGCAAGGGCAGGGUAAGGGGCAGCUUGGCCAGGAGGCACCCUUGGGAGCCAGGGUUUCCUCAUCUGUAAAAUGUGACUCUGCGAGGGCAGGAGCUUGGUUUCACUCGCUACUGUACCCCCUGGGGCCUACAGCAGGGCUGGUUGGUACACACUAGGUGUCUAAUAAAUGUUGAGGGAUUGAAUGGAUGGACCGAUGAAAAGGUUGG